RNAcentral lists this ribosomal RNA (253 nucleotides) under uncultured bacterium. RNAcentral describes it as "partial 16S ribosomal RNA". It matches the Rfam family "Bacterial small subunit ribosomal RNA", at positions 524 to 776 of the family's 1533-position model. The record is from RNAcentral.
UACGUAGGGGGCAAGCGUUGUCCGGAAUUAUUGGGCGUAAAGAGCGUGUAGGCGGCCAGGUAGGUCCGCUGUGAAAACUCGAGGCUCAACCUCGAGAUGUCGGCGGAAACCAUCUGGCUAGAGUCCGGAAGAGGAGAGUGGAAUUCCUGGUGUAGCGGUGAAAUGCGCAGAUAUCAGGAAGAACACCCGUGGCGAAGGCGGCUCUCUGGGACGGUACUGACGCUGAGACGCGAAAGCGUGGGGAGCAAACAGG